UGAGGGAAUAUUUGGGUCAAUGGGCGAGAGCCUGAACCAGCCAAGUAGCGUGCAGGACGACGGCCCUAUGGGUUGUAAACUGCUUUUAUAUGGGGAUAAAGUGAGUUACGUGUAGCUUAUUGCAGGUACCAUAUGAAUAAGGACCGGCUAAUUCCGUGCCAGCAGCCGCGGUAAUACGGAAGGUCCAGGCGUUAUCCGGAUUUAUUGGGUUUAAAGGGAGCGUAGGCCGCCCCUUAAGCGUGUUGUGAAAUGCCGCGGCUCAACCGUGGCACUGCAGCGCGAACUGGGGGGCUUGAGUGCACGCAACGCA
Molecule: ribosomal RNA, 310 nt
Filed under: uncultured Prevotella sp.
Lineage: Bacteria; Pseudomonadati; Bacteroidota; Bacteroidia; Bacteroidales; Prevotellaceae
Description: bacterial SSU rRNA
Rfam family: Bacterial small subunit ribosomal RNA
Source: RNAcentral